This 201-nucleotide ribosomal RNA is filed under the name uncultured bacterium. RNAcentral's name for it is "partial 16S ribosomal RNA". It matches the Rfam family "Bacterial small subunit ribosomal RNA", at positions 1298 to 1500 of the family's 1533-position model. The record is from RNAcentral.
UUGCAGGCUGCAACUCGCCUGCAUGAAGUCGGAAUUGCUAGUAAUCGCGGAUCAGCAUGCCGCGGUGAAUACGUUCCCGGGCCUUGUACACACCGCCCGUCACACCAUGGGAGUCGGUAACACCCGAAGCCGAUAGUCUAACGAAAGAGGACGUCGUCGAAGGUGGGAUUGAUGACUGGGGUGAAGUCGUAACAAGGUAUC